RNAcentral lists this ribosomal RNA (496 nucleotides) under uncultured bacterium. RNAcentral's name for it is "partial 16S ribosomal RNA". It matches the Rfam family "Bacterial small subunit ribosomal RNA", at positions 29 to 507 of the family's 1533-position model. The record is from RNAcentral.
AUGCACGCUGGCGGCGUGCCUCAUACAUGCAAGUCGCGCGAACGGACGAGAAGCUUGCUUCUCUGAUGUUAGCGGCGGACGGGUGAGUAACACGUGGAUAACCUACCUAUAAGACUGGGAUAACUUUGGGAAACCGGAGCUAAUACCGGAUGAUAUUUUGAACCGCAUGGUUCAAAAGUGAAAGACGGUCUUGCUGUCACUUAUAGAUGGAUCCGCGCUGCAUUAGCUAGUUGGUAAGGUAACGGCUUACCAAGGCAACGAUGCAUAGCCGACCUGAGAGGGUGAUCGGCCACACUGGAACUGAGACACGGUCCAGACUCCUACGGGAGGCAGCAGUAGGGAAUCUUCCGCAAUGGGCGAAAGCCUGACGGAGCAACGCCGCGUGAGUGAUGAAGGUCUUCGGAUCGUAAAACUCUGUUAUUAGGGAAGAACAUAUGUGUAAGUAACUGUGCACAUCUUGACGGUACCUAAUCAGAAAGCCACGGCUAACUACGUG